This 1242-nucleotide ribosomal RNA is filed under the name metagenome. Its description in RNAcentral is "bacterial LSU rRNA". It matches the Rfam family "Bacterial large subunit ribosomal RNA", at positions 1564 to 2816 of the family's 2925-position model. The record is from RNAcentral.
UGAAUACGAGACGCUAAGGCGUCGAAGUAGUGUAUGUCAUACUUCCAAGAAAAGCUUGCACUGUCAUAGAUAAAAAACGCCUGUACCAUAACCGACACAGGUGGGUAGGUAGAGUAUACUAAGGGGCGCGAGAUAACUCUCUCUAAGGAACUCGGCAAAAUAACUCCGUAACUUCGGGAGAAGGAGUGCCUUAUUAUUAAGGCUGCAAUAACAAGAUCCAAGCAACUGUUUAUCAAAAACACAGGUCUCCGCUAAGUCGUAAGACGAUGUAUGGGGGCUGACGCCUGCCCAGUGCCAGAAGGUUAAAGAAGUUGGUUAGCAUUUGCGAAGCUGAUAACUGAAGCCCUGGUGAACGGCGGCCGUAACAAUAACGGUCCUAAGGUAGCGAAAUUCCUUGUCGGGUAAGUUCCGACCCGCACGAAAGGCGUAAUGAUUUGGAUACUGUCUCGGAGAGGGGCUCGGUGAAAUAGACUUGUCUGUGAAGAUGCGGACUACCUGCACCAGGACAGAAAGACCCUAUGAAGCUUUACUGUAACUUGAAAUUGAAAUUGGACUUUAUUCGCGCAGCAUAGGCGGGAGGCGUUGAUUAUAAUCUCGUGGGAUUAUUGGAGCCAUCAGUGAGAUACCACUCUUGUAAUGUUAGAUUUCUAACUUUGAAUCAUUAUCUGGUCAAAGAACAGUUUCAGGCGGGCAGUUUGACUGGGGCGGUCGCCUCCUAAACGGUAACGGAGGCGUACAAAGGGUUCCUCUGAACGGUUAGAAAUCGUAUCUAGAGUGUAAAGGCAUAAGGAAGCUUGACUGUGAGACCUACAAGUCGAGCAGGGACGAAAGUCGGUCUUAGUGAUCUGACGGUACUGAGUGGAAAGGCCGUCACUCAACGGAUAAAAGUUACUCUAGGAUAACAGGCUGAUCUCCCCCAAGAGUUCACAUCGACGGGGAGGUUUGGCACCUCGAUGUCGGCUCAUCGCAUCCUGGGGCGGUAGUACGUCCCAAGGGUUGGGCUGUUCGCCCAUGAAAGCGGUACGCGAGCUGGGUUCAGAACGUCGUGAGACAGUUCGGUCCAUAUCCGGUGUAGGCGUUAGAAUAUUGAGAGGAGCCUUCUUUAGUACGAGAGGACCGAGAAGGACAUACCUCUGGUGUACCAGUUAUCGUGCCAACGGUAAACGCUGGGUAGCUAUGUAUGGAGUGGAUAACCGCUGAAAGCAUCUAAGUGGGAAGCCCACCUCAAGAUAAGUAUUCUCA